Molecule: unclassified non-coding RNA, 202 nt
Organism: Homo sapiens (human)
Lineage: Eukaryota; Metazoa; Chordata; Mammalia; Primates; Hominidae
Source: Ensembl
GGCAAAGGUUGGAAGAGACCUUUAGAACAGCUGGUCCCUAUGCCGACCGGGUGCCCGCACUAAGUUUGGCAUCAAUAUGAUGUCCUCCUGGGAGCGGGGGGCCACCAAGUUGCCUAAGGAUGGCUGAACUGGCCCAGGUCAGAAAGGGAGCGGGUCAGAACUCCCACAUCGACUGGUAGUGGGACUAUGCCUGAUCUUGGUU